GUGUAGAAUUGGUUAGAAGAGAACUU
This 26-nucleotide non-coding RNA is filed under the name Cricetulus griseus (Chinese hamster). Lineage: Eukaryota; Metazoa; Chordata; Mammalia; Rodentia; Cricetidae. The record is from RNAcentral.